ACGAACGCUGGCGGCAUGCUAACACCUGCAAGUCGAACGCUAUUUAUAGAGUGGCGCACGGGUGAGUAACGCGUGGGAACCUGCCUUUUUCUGCGGGAUAACGGUUGGAAACGACCGCUAAUACCGCAUACGUCCUACGGGGAGAAAGGUCCGCCGGAAAAAGAGGGGCCCGCGUCAUGAUUAGCUUGUUGGUAGGGUAAUGGCCUACCAAGGCGACGAUCAGUAGCUGGUCUGAGAGGAUGAUCAGCCACACUGGGACUGAGACACGGCCAGACUCCUACGGGAGGCAGCAGUGGGGAAUAUUGGACAAUGGGGGCAACCCUGAUCCAGCAAUGCCGCGUGUGUGAUGAAGGCCUUAGGGUUGUAAAGCACUUUCACUGGUGAAGAUGAUGACGGUAACCAGAGAAGAAGCCCCGGCUAACUUCGUGCCAGCAGCCGCGGUAAUACGAAGGGGGCGAGCGUUGUUCGGAAUUACUGGGCGUAAAGGGCGCGUAGGCGGUCUUUUAAGUUAGGCGUGAAAGCCCCGGGCUCAACCGGGAACUGCGCUUAAGACUGGAAGACUAGAAAACGGAAGAGGGUAGUUGGAAUUCCCAGUGUAGCACGGUGAAAUUCGUACAUCUUGGGAAGAACACAGUGGCCGAAAGCGGUACCUGGUCCGAUUUUGACGCUGAC
Molecule: ribosomal RNA, 672 nt
Filed under: uncultured Alphaproteobacteria bacterium
Lineage: Bacteria; Pseudomonadati; Pseudomonadota; Alphaproteobacteria
Description: bacterial SSU rRNA
Rfam family: Bacterial small subunit ribosomal RNA
Source: RNAcentral